Perognathus longimembris pacificus (Pacific pocket mouse) is the source of this 1467-nucleotide long non-coding RNA. RefSeq lists it as uncharacterized. The transcript is spliced from 6 exons. The record is from RefSeq and is a predicted model, not a curated record. NCBI's taxonomy places the organism in Eukaryota, Metazoa, Chordata, Mammalia, Rodentia, Heteromyidae.
GACGUCAUCAAUGGCGACCCUGAGGACCCGAUCGGCUUUUUAAUGGAGAACAACGGGAUCUGAAAUAACAGAGGAAUUUGACAUGUGCUACCACAAACCAAGGCAAGCUGGAACCACCAGAAGCUGCAAGAGCCAACGGCAGACUCUGUUCUCUGAGCCUUCAGAGGGAGCGAGACCUGCGGAUACAUUGAUUGGGAUUUCCAGACUCCAGAACUGAUGUUUCCUUUGAGCCCUGGAAGGGUAAGAACCAAUCCUUACUUUCCAUGUGCUGUGCACGAUGCUGGAAUGAUUUAUGGGAGAUCUCCUUGGGCAAAUGUUCUCAACUCAUAUUUGACACUGGAGGAGCAGUUUCCCAUUGACUCCAGGGGAAAAGGGACAUGUCAGAGCAGGGCAACACGGAUGCUGGACCAAGGGUGGUCUGAAGUCUGAAGGCGUUUGCCUUCUGGGAAAAGCGAGGGCACUGCAGGGAGGACUGUGGGAGGCAUUUUCAGUCUGUAGAACUGCAUGUACAUCAUUGUUGCCAUAGAAACCCGACGUCAUCAUGGAAGCCCUGCUGAGUUUUCAAUGCAUCAAUGCAGACCUAUGUGAUCAGAUUAAAAGAACUGGGGCCCACCUCUAGGACUGGGAGGUCUUGAGAUGCUGAGAGAUGAGGGACCCUCCAGCCCCAGGGAGUAUGGUGUCCUGCUCCACGGUGUCCAGAAGCUUUUGUGGCACAGGAGGAUAAUACCAGGAAGAAAGCACUGAGUCAAGCAUCCCCCUCUUUGUAGUGGGGGUAAGAAUGUUCACCCACAGGAUCACUGGGACCUUCAGUAAUUACCCACACAUAUGUAGCAAAACCAUAGCCCCGUGGUUAUUAUGGGAUCAUCAGUGUCUGUAUAAAUUCACAUCACUUUGUUCUCUCAUUCCUCUCUCCUCAUCCCCCCUCGCACUUUCCUUCUUACCUCAUUGCCUACUCUUUUUGUGCCAGUACUAGGACUUGAACUCUCUACCGCUUGAGCCUUACUCCCACUUCCUGAUUCUUGGUGGUUAAUUGGAAAUAAGAAUCUCAGGUCUUAAAUGCUAAAUUACUAGGACCGAGGGCUCUUAACAGAGCUUGCUAACUAAUACUCUCCCUUGAAAUGGCUUUUUUAAAAAAGAUAAAGAAAAGAAUAAAAUGAAAAAAGCAGGCACUCUGUAGAGAAGAAACACUAAGUUGAGAAGUUAUCUGAGAAAAAGCAAGCACUGAAGCCCAUCUGUUAUCCCUAUGCACAGAGAUAUCUCCAUAUUUUAGAUAAUAAGCAUUCAUCUUGGCUACAUAAAACCUUUGCUGAAGGGUUGGGGCAUUCUAGUGGAUCAAGUGUUAUUCCCCAGCUACUCUGGAGGCUGAGUUCUGGUGGUCACGGUUGAAAGCCAGAAAUGGGAACAAAGUCCCUUGUGAAACUUAUCUCUACUAAACUACUAAUUAAAGCUGUAAGUGGAGCUGUGCCU